This 107-nucleotide non-coding RNA is filed under the name Bacillus gobiensis. Its description in RNAcentral is "SAM-I sequence". It matches the Rfam family "SAM riboswitch aptamer (S box leader)". From Rfam's summary of the family: The SAM riboswitch is found upstream of a number of genes which code for proteins involved in methionine or cysteine biosynthesis in Gram-positive bacteria. Lineage: Bacteria; Bacillati; Bacillota; Bacilli; Caryophanales; Bacillaceae. The record is from Rfam by way of RNAcentral.
UACUUAUCCAGAGCGGCGGAGGGACUGGCCCAAUGAAACUCGGGAAACCAGCAGAAUCACUAUGUUGCUCAUUCCAGGAACACAUGGUUGUGUUCAAAAGAUGGGGA